AACUUAUGUAUGGACAAAUAAAUUACCAUUUCAAUAAUCCCUAUAAUAUUUUUAUAUAAUUUAGGAUUCGCUAAAUGGAAACAAAA
Small nucleolar RNA from Tetrahymena thermophila SB210, 86 nucleotides. It matches the Rfam family "Tetrahymena snoRNA TtnuHACA27". The record is from Rfam. Lineage: Eukaryota; Ciliophora; Oligohymenophorea; Hymenostomatida; Tetrahymenidae.